RNAcentral lists this ribosomal RNA (286 nucleotides) under Aegla sp. KACa0274. RNAcentral describes it as "partial 12S small subunit ribosomal RNA". Lineage: Eukaryota; Metazoa; Arthropoda; Malacostraca; Decapoda; Aeglidae. RNAcentral also lists the same sequence under 1 other name. The record is from RNAcentral.
UAUUUUAGUCUUGUUAGAGGAACCUGUUUUAUAAUCGAUAAACCACGUAAAUUUUACUUAUUUUAAAUAAUUUGUAUACCGUCAUUAUUAGAUAACUUUCAAAAAAUUAGUUAUUAAAAUUAAAAAAAAUUAAAUAUAUUAGAUCAAGGUGCAGUUAAUAAAUAAGAAAAAAUGGGUUACAAUAAAAUUUAUUUAAAACGAAUUAUAUAAAUGUAAAAAUAUAUGAAGGAGGAUUUAAUUGUAAUUUUUUUUAUAAAAUAAUAAUAUGAUAAUAGCUCUAAAAUAU